CAUUUAUGGAUUUCGGAUAAUUUCUGUUUGGAAUUUGGAAAAACUUCUUUCUGCAAAGUUGUAGAGAAUUGAAUUUCCUAUAAAAAGUCGCAAGAUUCGAAUUUUCUGACAAAAGGGCUAUUUAUCAUGAAUUAUUGAAGCUCCGGAGUUCCGAAAUAAUUGAUUUUUGGAAGUUUUAAUUAUUUUAUAUAAGAAAAACGUUUUUG
This 206-nucleotide long non-coding RNA is filed under the name Panax ginseng (ginseng). RNAcentral's name for it is "long non-coding RNA (PGIN_LNC016057)". Lineage: Eukaryota; Viridiplantae; Streptophyta; Magnoliopsida; Apiales; Araliaceae. The record is from RNAcentral.